CCUACGGGAGGCAGCAGUGAGGAAUAUUGGUCAAUGGACGAGAGGCUGAACCAGCCAAGCAGCGUGAAGGAUGACGGCCCUAUGGGUCGUAGACCUCUUUUAUAAGGGAAUAAAACGCGGCACGCGUGCCUUUCUGCGGGUACUCUAUGAAUAAGGAUCGGCUAACUCCGUGCCAGCAGCCGCGGUAAUACGGAGGAUUCGAGCGUUAUCCGGAUUUAUUGGGUUUAAAGGGGGCGGAGGUGGGUUGUUAAGCCCGUCGUGAAAGUUGGGGGCUCAACCCUAGCAUAGCAAUUGAUACUGGCAGUCUUGAGUACAGUGGAGGUAGGCGGAAUGCGUGGUGUAGCGGUGAAAUGCAUAGAUAUCGCGAAGAACCCCGAUUGCGAAGGCAGCGUGCCAAGCCGCGACUGACACUGAGGCACGAAAGUGUGGGGAUCGAACAGGAUUAGAUACCCGAGUAGUC
RNAcentral lists this ribosomal RNA (460 nucleotides) under uncultured bacterium. Its description in RNAcentral is "partial 16S ribosomal RNA". It matches the Rfam family "Bacterial small subunit ribosomal RNA", at positions 338 to 795 of the family's 1533-position model. The record is from RNAcentral.